Molecule: ribosomal RNA, 408 nt
Filed under: uncultured bacterium
Lineage: Bacteria
Description: bacterial SSU rRNA
Rfam family: Bacterial small subunit ribosomal RNA
Source: RNAcentral
GUGCCAGCCGCCGCGGUAAUACGGAGGAUGCAAGCGUUAUCCGGAUUUAUUGGGUUUAAAGGGUGCGUAGGCGGUAUUACAAGUCAGGGGUGAAAUCUUGGUGCUUAACAUUAAAAUUGCCUUUGAAACUGUGGUACUUGAGUGUAAAAGAGGUAGGCGGAUGUGUUGUGUAGCGGUGAAAUGCAUAGAUAUAACACAGAACCCCGAUUGCGAAGGCAGCUUACUAUCAUACAACUGACGCUGAUGCACGAAAGCGUGGGGAUCAAACAGGAUUAGAUACCCUGGUAGUCCACGCAGUAAACGAUGAUUACUAGCUGUUAGCGAUAUACUGAUAGUGGCUAAGCGAAAGCGAUAAGUAAUCCACCUGGGGAGUACGUUCGCAAGAAUGAAACUCAAAUAAAUUGGCGG